AGCAGCCGCGGUAAUUCCAGCUCCAAUAGCGUAUAUUAAAGUUGUUGCAGUUAAAAAGCUCGUAGUUGAAUUUCGGGAUCAAUAUGUCGGUCGUGCUUAGGUACGUACUGGCAUCAUUGGUUCCUCCUUUCUGAUGAACCAUGAUGCCAUUAAUUUGGUGUUAUGGGGAAUCAGGACUGUUACCUUGAAAAAAUUAGAGUGUUUAAAGCAGGCUCACGCUUGAAUACAUUAGCAUGGAAUAAUGAAAUAGGACGUUUGAUUCUAUUUUGUUGGUUUCUAGGAUCGACGUAAUGAUUAAUAGGGAUAGUUGGGGGCAUUAGUAUUCAAUUGUCAGAGGUGAAAUUCUUGGAUUUAUUGAAGACUAACUACUGCGAAAGCAUUUGCCAAGGAUGUUUUCAUUAAUCAAGAACGAAAGUUAGGGGAUCGAAGACGAUCAGAUACCGUCGUAGUCUUAACCAUAAACUAUGCCGACUAGGGAUCGGAUGAUGUUAAUUUUUUAAUGACUCU
This 507-nucleotide ribosomal RNA is filed under the name uncultured fungus. RNAcentral's name for it is "SSU rRNA". It matches the Rfam family "Eukaryotic small subunit ribosomal RNA", at positions 569 to 1078 of the family's 1831-position model. Lineage: Eukaryota; Fungi. The record is from RNAcentral.